UGAGCAGAGGAUCCUCCUCCUGUCACCACUGCUAAAUCUCUCUGGCAACUGCAGCCCAUACUGGGAAGAAGCAGGGAGGCAAAACUGCUGAAGGGGUGCUGAAAAACAAUUCAGUAUCAAGCCAAAACUGCAGUGACUGUAGGUCUGCAUAUGUCUGUAUCACUGCUAUGUGACCUAAGUUUUCUUCUUGCAGCCUUCUGGUGAAACAUGUGGUAUCCAACAAAGCUCACACAUGGGAAAAUAAAGGGUCUGAGUGUGAGGACUGA
Pogoniulus pusillus (Red-fronted tinkerbird) is the source of this 266-nucleotide long non-coding RNA. RefSeq lists it as uncharacterized. The transcript has 3 exons. The record is from RefSeq and is a predicted model, not a curated record. NCBI's taxonomy places the organism in Eukaryota, Metazoa, Chordata, Aves, Piciformes, Lybiidae.